UUUUUUUGGUGUAUCGUUUAUAUUUUACUCGAGGCUAAAAACCUUCCUUAUGAGAGAUAUUGUGUUUCCAAGGAUUCGUGUUCAAACAUGUUUCGUCUUGUCAAAUUGUCGAGCGUAUCCCCCCCCCCCCCCAUCUUGUUAUUCGAUGCGCGAAAUGGAAGCGCAAAGUGACAUCGUUCGACUUGAUUCGUCGUGACGAUUAAACGUUUGAAAUUUUUUCGAGACGUGUAUUCUAUUUAAUGCAUUUUAGUAUUUUAAUAUUAUUUUUUUUAUAGCUACUUUUGUUAUCAUUUGUGCGUUUUUAUUUAAUCAAUAUAUCUUUAUUCAAUGUUUUAUUGAGCAUUAUUAGAAUUGAUAAUUUUUUGACAAUAAAAUAAUUUUGAAUUCUUCGUUUGUAAUAUAAUUCGAGUGUCGAAUUACAAGAUGGCUUAUUAUAUAUCAUUUAAUUGGUAGCGUCAUAGUACCUAUCUCGAAGGCGGGAAAAAUUCCAAUAUGGACGCCAUAUCUUUCUUGGUGACUUUCUUUCGUGGUAAAAUUUUACAUUUCUUAAAUAUAAAUUUUUAUUCUGUUUUAUUGGAUUAUUAGUGAUAGUUGUUAAGCAAUUGCUAAUAAAAUUAUAUUUUAUUUAA
Molecule: long non-coding RNA, 629 nt
Organism: Apis florea (little honeybee)
Lineage: Eukaryota; Metazoa; Arthropoda; Insecta; Hymenoptera; Apidae
Source: RefSeq, a predicted model, not a curated record